CGGGGUGUAGCUCAGCUUGGUAGAGCGCUUGGUUCGGGACCAAGAGGUCGCAAGUUCAACUCUUGUCACCCCGA
RNAcentral lists this transfer RNA (74 nucleotides) under Deltaproteobacteria bacterium. RNAcentral's name for it is "tRNA-Pro". It matches the Rfam family "tRNA". From Rfam's summary of the family: Transfer RNA (tRNA) molecules are approximately 80 nucleotides in length. Their secondary structure includes four short double-helical elements and three loops (D, anti-codon, and T loops). Lineage: Bacteria; Pseudomonadati; Myxococcota; Myxococcia. The record is from RNAcentral.